GAUACUACAUGAACAAGUGCUCCAAGCUAACCUGAGGGUUUAUCUUGUCAAGCUGCAAAACAACCUCACCCAAGAACUUGUAUCCGGAGCCAUCUUUUGCAUGGAAGUUCACAGGUGACCCACAGAAUCCCCCGAUUAACGAGUACACCUGAAUUUUUUUUAAACCCAGUCUUAGUUGGGUCCUCAAACUCCACAUUCAAAAUUUACGCCAAGAUAAGUCAAAGCUGGUAGCACCGUGUACCUUGUUGGGAUUCCUCAUGUCAAAAGCAGGGUGAGACAGAAGCUUCUCAACAUUUACCACAUUUCCAGGAAUGUCCGAAGUAGCUUGAAGAGCAAACCACUUGCUUACAACCUAUCCCAGCAUAAAAGCAAAUACAGGUACCCACUUAAAACAAGCGUGCUACAUUGGUUCUAAAAUUGAUUUGUUCACUAUCUGUAAGGCAUGUAUAAUCAGCAUGCAUGCAUGUAUGUAUGUAUCUUACCAAAUAUUCGUUCUGCCACUUGUUAUAGAAAUCCAAAAGGGCGUCAUCACGAACUUGGCCUGGAUUUUGAGAUAGUGCUGCUAAGGCAGCAAACUGCUCUGUCAUGUUAGUUGCAGUCUUGUAUUCAUGCAGUGCAAGUUCAGUGACAUCUGGCUCAUUCAGGGAUGCAAGGUAUGC
RNAcentral lists this long non-coding RNA (659 nucleotides) under Setaria italica (foxtail millet). RNAcentral's name for it is "long non-coding RNA (SITA_LNC004872)". The record is from RNAcentral. Lineage: Eukaryota; Viridiplantae; Streptophyta; Magnoliopsida; Poales; Poaceae.